RNAcentral lists this ribosomal RNA (253 nucleotides) under uncultured bacterium. Its description in RNAcentral is "partial 16S ribosomal RNA". It matches the Rfam family "Bacterial small subunit ribosomal RNA", at positions 524 to 776 of the family's 1533-position model. The record is from RNAcentral.
UACGUAGGGGGCAAGCGUUGUUCGGAAUUACUGGGCGUAAAGGGCGCGUAGGCGGCAUGGCAAGUCGGGAGCGAAAGGCCUGGGCUCAACCGAGGAACUGCUUUCGAGACUGCCAAGCUAGAGUGCGGAAGGGGCAUCUGGAAUUCCCAGUGUAGCGGUGAAAUGCGUAGAUAUUGGGAAGAACACCUGAGGCGAAGGCGGGAUGCUGGGCCGACACUGACGCUGAGGCGCGAAAGCCAGGGGAGCAAACGGG